UACCUGGUUGAUCCUGCCAGUAAUCAUAUGCUUGUCUCAAAGAUUAAGCCAUGCAUGUCUAAGUACAUGCCGAAAUAAGGCGAAACCGCGAAUGGCUCAUUAAAUCAGUUAUGGUUCCUUAGAUCGUUUCUUCCUACUUUGAUAACUGUGGCAAUUCUAGAGCUAAUACAUGCAGUGAGCCUGAAGCCCUUUGGGCGACGGGUGCUUUUAUUAGACCAAGAUCGAUCGGGUUUCGGCCCGUAUUGUGUGGUGACUCUGGAUAACUUUGUGCUGAUCGCAUGGCCACGAGCCGGCGACGUUUCUUUCAAGUGUCUGCCUUAUCAACUUUCGAUGGUAGGUUACUUGCUUACCAUGGUUGUUACGGGUAACGGAGAAUCAGGGUUCGAUUCCGGAGAGGGAGCCUGAGAAACGGCUACCACAUCCAAGGAAGGCAGCAGGCGCGCAAAUUACCCACUCCCGGCACGGGGAGGUAGUGACGAAAAAUAACAAUACGGGACUCUUUUGAGGCCCCGUAAUUGAAAUGAGUACACUCUAAAUCCUUUAACGAGGAUCAAUUGGAGGGCAAGUCUGGUGCCAGCAGCCGCGGUAAUUCCAGCUCCAAUAGCGUAUACUAAAGCUGCUGCGGUUAAAAAGCUCGUAGUUGGAUCUCAGUUCCAGACGAGUAGUGCAUCUACCCGAUGCGACGGCUCGGACUGAACAUCAUGCCGGUCCUUUCUUGGUGCACUUCAUUGUGUGCCUCGAGAAGGCCGGUGCUUUUACUUUGAAAAAAUUAGAGUGCUCAACGCAGGCGAGUCGCCUGAAUAAACUUGCAUGGAAUAAUAGAACAAGACCUCGUUUCUGUUCUGUUGGUUUUUGGAAUACGAGGUAAUGAUUAAGAGGGACAGACGGGGGCAUUCGUAUUGCGGCGCUAGAGGUGAAAUUCUUGGACCGUCGCAAGACGAACUACUGCGAAAGCAUUUGCCAAGAAUGUUUUCUUUGAUCAAGAACGAAAGUCAGAGGUUCGAAGGCGAUCAGAUACCGCCCUAGUUCUGACCAUAAACGAUGCCAACCAGCGAUCCGCCUGAGUUACUCAAAUGACUCGGCGGGCAGCUUCCGGGAAACCAAAGUGUUUGGGUUCCGGGGGAAGUAUGGUUGCAAAGCUGAAACUUAAAGGAAUUGACGGAAGGGCACCACCAGGAGUGGAGCCUGCGGCUUAAUUUGACUCAACACGGGAAAACUUACCCGGCCCGGACACUGGGAGGAUUGACAGAUUGAGAGCUCUUUCUUGAUUCGGUGGAUGGUGGUGCAUGGCCGUUCUUAGUUGGUGGAGCGAUUUGUCUGGUUAAUUCCGAUAACGAACGAGACUCUAGCCUAUUAAAUAGGUGCGGGGUUCCCAGCACCUUACAACCUUCUUAGAGGGACAAGCGGCUCCUAGCCGCACGAAACAGAGCAAUAACAGGUCUGUGAUGCCCUUAGAUGUCCGGGGCCGCACGCGCGCUACACUGAAGGAAGCAGCGUGUCUUUAUCCCUGUCUGAAAGGACUGGGUAACCCGUGGAACUUCUUUCGUGAUUGGGAUAGGGGCUUGCAAUUGUUCCCCUUGAACGAGGAAUUCCCAGUAAGCGCGAGUCAUAAGCUCGCGUUGAUUACGUCCCUGCCCUUUGUACACACCGCCCGUCGCUACUACCGAUUGAAUGAUUUAGUGAGGUCUUCGGACCGAUGUCCGGCGCGGCCUUUCGGUUGCGCCGGUCUGUUGGAAAGAUGACCAAACUUGAUCAUUUAGAGGAAGUAAAAGUCGUAACAAGGUUUCCGUAGGUGAACCUGCGGAAGGAUCAUUA
This 1815-nucleotide ribosomal RNA is filed under the name Dermacentor andersoni. RNAcentral describes it as "small subunit ribosomal RNA". It matches the Rfam family "Eukaryotic small subunit ribosomal RNA". Lineage: Eukaryota; Metazoa; Arthropoda; Arachnida; Ixodida; Ixodidae. The record is from RNAcentral.